This 371-nucleotide long non-coding RNA is filed under the name Panax ginseng (ginseng). RNAcentral's name for it is "long non-coding RNA (PGIN_LNC014336)". The record is from RNAcentral. Lineage: Eukaryota; Viridiplantae; Streptophyta; Magnoliopsida; Apiales; Araliaceae.
UUUUCAAACCAAAGACGCAAGGAGGAAAUUUCAAAGCAAAUAAAAACAACUUCAGAAGUACCAAUCCAAAUGAAAAUUCAAACACAUGUUUUGAAUGUAAGCAGCCUGGACACUUCAAGAAGGACUGUCCAAAACUAGUCAACAACAAAGUUUUUGUAGCCGAAGAAGGAUGGGACCUAAGUGACGAGGAAGAAACUGCUGAGAAAAAUGAAGAAGUUGUAAAUCUGUGCUUAAUGGCAGAUAAUGACUCAUCACCAAGAUCUAAGGUAAAUUUUGAACAUCAACUGCCUAGCACUUCAUUUUCUUCAUACACACUAGAAAAUAUAAAUGAAGAACACUAUGCAUUAUAAGAAGCAUAUAGUCAUUUAUAU